UCCUAUCGAACCACAUUGUAAGUUUGAUCUAAGCAUGCCAAUGGAUUGAAUGGUUCUUCAAAUGUUUAAGUAGACUGAGCUGGUUCAUAGGUGGAAGCAAGCAAUGCUUAGAUUUUUCAUCACACAUAGCUAUUUAAGUUGUUGCAUAAGCAUCUAAAUGGCUGUUUUAAUAACCAUUAUCUUGAGCUAUUCCCCUCUAUCCAUUUUCGCUAUAAUUUCAUGUGAGCAAUAGUAAUUUAGAAGCCCAAACAUAUACAUUUGCAUGGCAUUGCUUCAUGACAGGUAGAUGCAUCAUUGAUGCAUCUCUGAUGGGCUAUUUUUCAAAUGUAAUUAAAGGUCCAAGUCCUUUGUAUCAGUUUUUUUUAAAUCAAUACUCUUAUUGUAUAUUUAACAAUACAGUGGAACAGUCAAUGCUGCUGUUAAAUUUCUUUCCUCAUCAUGCAAAUUCUUUACAAAGAAGGUAAUGAAAUUUCAAGCAUUAACACUCUGAUGUAGUCAGUGGAGGAUCCUUCUUUUGAUUUAUAAAUGCUUUAGCAGAUGUCGAAACUUUGAUGAAAUUGCAUGUGCUGAUAGUCAUGCGUAAUCUAUCUUGUUGAUUUCUAU
This 603-nucleotide long non-coding RNA is filed under the name Phoenix dactylifera (date palm). RNAcentral's name for it is "long non-coding RNA (PDAC_LNC020238)". The record is from RNAcentral. Lineage: Eukaryota; Viridiplantae; Streptophyta; Magnoliopsida; Arecales; Arecaceae.